AGAUCGACAUUACGUACCUUUGAAUAAUGUUUACCAUUUGUUGAUAAUUUUCUUGUGGUUUUCUCAAUGAGUCAAAGAUUAUCAACCGGUUCUUGGGAAUUUCAAUGACCAUGAGUAUCCAGUGAAAGCUGUUUACACACAUAUAUAUAUAGUCAGUCCUAUAAUGUAAAAUAAAAUAUGCAUGCACUUAAUAACUAUAUAACUCACUCGAAGUUGAAGGGGAAGAGUUUUUUUUCUUUUUCUUUUUGGUUCACAAAGAACCUCAUAAGAUUGGUGCAGACUUCUGUCUCAUGAUCUGCUGUCCACACUGCCUGCGGAGCCUUGAAAACAAUAUAAGGGUCAACGAACCCAAUACUUUUGUCAUUUCUCAUUCUGAGCUCUCUCAUUUGGUGUGUAAGGAUUAUAAAUAUGUAAUUAAAGAAGUUAGAAGUAUAAUAAACAGAAAAAAUACUUACAGACAAAAGCAGCUGACAAGAGAUUUGUCAAGAGCAUCGAGGUGACAUAAUUGGUGCACUUCUUCGAACUGCACGUAUAUGAGGUCAUCUCCACGGAAGUAGUGAUGUUGUCUAAUACGAACAGAAAUUCAAUUCUCUCCCCUUUUAGACGCCUCAAUGCACCAUUUGUUUAUUGCAAACAUUUGUAUGCCGAGCUCGUGUA
This 657-nucleotide long non-coding RNA is filed under the name Sorghum bicolor (sorghum). Its description in RNAcentral is "long non-coding RNA (SBIC_LNC018187)". The record is from RNAcentral. Lineage: Eukaryota; Viridiplantae; Streptophyta; Magnoliopsida; Poales; Poaceae.